RNAcentral lists this ribosomal RNA (484 nucleotides) under uncultured bacterium. RNAcentral describes it as "partial 16S ribosomal RNA". It matches the Rfam family "Bacterial small subunit ribosomal RNA", at positions 30 to 507 of the family's 1533-position model. The record is from RNAcentral.
AUUGAACGCUGGCGGCAUGCUUUACACAUGCAAGUCGAACGGCAGCACGGGCUUCGGCCUGGUGGCGAGUGGCGAACGGGUGAGUAAUAUAUCGGAACGUACCCAGAAGUGGGGGAUAACGUAGCGAAAGUUACGCUAAUACCGCAUACGAUCUAUGGAUGAAAGCAGGGGACCGCAAGGCCUUGUGCUCCUGGAGCGGCCGAUAUCUGAUUAGCUAGUUGGUGAGGUAAAGGCUCACCAAGGCGACGAUCAGUAGCUGGUCUGAGAGGACGACCAGCCACACUGGAACUGAGACACGGUCCAGACUCCUGCGGGAGGCAGCAGUGGGGAAUUUUGGACAAUGGGCGCAAGCCUGAUCCAGCAAUGCCGCGUGAGUGAAGAAGGCCUUCGGGUUGUAAAGCUCUUUUGUCAGGGAAGAAACGGUAGAGGCUAAUAUCCUUUGCUAAUGACGGUACCUGAAGAAUAAGCACCGGCUAACUACGUG